CCUACGGGUGGCAGCAGUGAGGAAUAUUGGUCAAUGGACGCUAGCCUGAACCAGCCAAGUCGCGUGAAGGAUGACUGCCCUAUGGGUUGUAAACUUCUUUUAUAUGGGGAUAAAGUGCAGUAUGUGUACCGCUUUGCAUGUACCUUAUGAAUAAGGAUCGGCUAACUCCGUGCCAGCAGCCGCGGUAAUACGGAGGAUGCGAGCGUUAAUCGGAAUUAUUGGGGGUAAAGGGUGCGUAGGCGGUUUGUCAAGUCAGGCGUGAAAUCCCGGCGCUCAACGUGGGAACUGCCUUUGAAACUGGCAAACUGGAGGAUGUGAGCGGAUAGUGGAAGUCCAGGUGUAGGAGUGAAAUCCGUAGAUAUC
Molecule: ribosomal RNA, 363 nt
Filed under: uncultured bacterium
Lineage: Bacteria
Description: partial 16S ribosomal RNA
Rfam family: Bacterial small subunit ribosomal RNA
Source: RNAcentral